This 225-nucleotide ribosomal RNA is filed under the name uncultured bacterium. Its description in RNAcentral is "partial 16S ribosomal RNA". It matches the Rfam family "Bacterial small subunit ribosomal RNA", at positions 109 to 334 of the family's 1533-position model. The record is from RNAcentral.
AGUAACGCGUGGGUAACCUGCCUCAUACAGGGGGAUAACAGUUAGAAAUGACUGCUAAUACCGCAUAAGCGCACAGUGCUGCAUGGCACAGUGUGAAAAACUCCGGUGGUAUGGGAUGGACUCGCGUCUGAUUAGCUAGUUGGCGGGGUAACGGCCUACCAAGGCGACGAUCAGUAGCCGGCCUGAGAGGGUGAACGGCCACAUUGGGACUGAGACACGGCCCAA